ACGUAGUUGGCCGGGGCUUCUUCUGGAGGUACCGUCAUUUUCGUCCCUCCUGAAAGGGGUUUACGACCCGAGAGCCUUCAUCCCCCACGCGGCGUUGCUGCGUCAGGCUUUCGCCCAUUGCGCAAGAUUCCCC
Molecule: ribosomal RNA, 133 nt
Filed under: uncultured bacterium
Lineage: Bacteria
Description: partial 16S ribosomal RNA
Source: RNAcentral